UGCCCUAGUACGGCGAGUGAAGCGGCAACAGCUCAAAUUUGAAAGCUAGCCUUCGGGUUCGCAUUGUAAUUUGUAGAGGAUGAUUUGGGGAAGCCGCCUGUCUAAGUUCCUUGGAACAGGACGUCAUAGAGGGUGAGAAUCCCGUAUGUGACAGGAAAUGGCACCCUAUGUAAAUCUCCUUCGACGAGUCGAGUUGUUUGGGAAUGCAGCUCUAAAUGGGAGGUAAAUUUCUUCUAAAGCUAAAUAUUGGCGAGAGACCGAUAGCGCACAAGUAGAGUGAUCGAAAGAUGAAAAGCACUUUGGAAAGAGAGUUAAAAAGCACGUGAAAUUGUUGAAAGGGAAGCGCUUGCAAUCAGACUUGUUUAUACUGUUCGGCCGGUCUUCUGACCGGUUUACUCAGUUUGGACAGGCCAGCAUCAGUUUCGGCGGCCGGAUAAAGGCUCUGGGAAUGUGGCCUUCACUUCGGUGGAGGUGUUAUAGCCCAGGGUGUAAUACGGCCAGCCGGGACUGAGGUCCGCGCUUCGGCUAGGAUGCUGGCGUAAUGGUUGUAAGCGACCCGUCUUGAAACACGGACCAAGGAGUCUAACAUCUAUGCGAGUGUUCGGGUGUCAAACCCCUGCGCGUAAUGAAAGUGAACGGAGGUGGGAACCGCAAGGUGCACCAUCGACCGAUCCUGAUGUCUUCGGAUGGAUUUGAGUAAGAGCAUAGCUGUUGGGACCCGAAAGAUGGUGAACUAUGCCUGAAUAGGGUGAAGCCAGAGGAAACUCUGGUGGAGGCUCGCAGCGGUUCUGACGUGCAAAUCGAUCGUCAAAUUUGGGUAUAGGGCGAAA
RNAcentral lists this ribosomal RNA (830 nucleotides) under Aureobasidium pullulans. Its description in RNAcentral is "partial large subunit ribosomal RNA". It matches the Rfam family "Eukaryotic large subunit ribosomal RNA", at positions 76 to 928 of the family's 3401-position model. Lineage: Eukaryota; Fungi; Ascomycota; Dothideomycetes; Dothideales; Saccotheciaceae. The record is from RNAcentral.